Molecule: ribosomal RNA, 253 nt
Filed under: uncultured bacterium
Lineage: Bacteria
Description: partial 16S ribosomal RNA
Rfam family: Bacterial small subunit ribosomal RNA
Source: RNAcentral
UACGGAGGGAGCUAGCGUUGUUCGGAAUUACUGGGCGUAAAGCGCGCGUAGGCGGCUUUGUAAGUUAGAGGUGAAAGCCCGGGGCUCAACCCCGGAAUUGCCUUUAAGACUGCAUCGCUUGAAUCCGGGAGAGGUGAGUGGAAUUCGAGUGUAGAGGUGAAAUUCGUAGAUAUUCGGAAGAACACCAGUGGCGAAGGCGGCUCACUGGACCGGCAUUGACGCCUGAGGUGCGAAAGCGUGGGGAGCAAACAGG